AGAGUUUGAUCCUGGCUCAGAUUGAACGCUGGCGGCAGGCCUAACACAUGCAAGUCGAGCGGUAGCACAGAGAGCUUGCUCUCGGGUGACGAGCGGCGGACGGGUGAGUAAUGUCUGGGAAACUGCCUGAUGGAGGGGGAUAACUACUGGAAACGGUAGCUAAUACCGCAUAAUGUCGCAAGACCAAAGUGGGGGACCUUCGGGCCUCAUGCCAUCAGAUGUGCCCAGAUGGGAUUAGCUAGUAGGUGGGGUAACGGCUCACCUAGGCGACGAUCCCUAGCUGGUCUGAGAGGAUGACCAGCCACACUGGAACUGAGACACGGUCCAGACUCCUACGGGAGGCAGCAGUGGGGAAUAUUGCACAAUGGGCGCAAGCCUGAUGCAGCCAUGCCGUGUGUGUGAAGAAGGCCUUCGGGUUGUAAAGCACUUUCAGCGGGGAGGAAGGCGUUAAGGUUAAUAACCUUGGCGAUUGACGUUACCCGCAGAAGAAGCACCGGCUAACUCCGUGCCAGCAGCCGCGGUAAUACGGAGGGUGCAAGCGUUAAUCGGAAUUACUGGGCGUAAAGCGCACGCAGGCGGUCUGUCAAGUCGGAUGUGAAAUCCCCGGGCUCAACCUGGGAACUGCAUUCGAAACUGGCAGGCUAGAGUCUUGUAGAGGGGGGUAGAAUUCCAGGUGUAGCGGUGAAAUGCGUAGAGAUCUGGAGGAAUACCGGUGGCGAAGGCGGCCCCCUGGACAAAGACUGACGCUCAGGUGCGAAAGCGUGGGGAGCAAACAGGAUUAGAUACCCUGGUAGUCCACGCCGUAAACGAUGUCGAUUUGGAGGUUGUGCCCUUGAGGCGUGGCUUCCGGAGCUAACGCGUUAAAUCGACCGCCUGGGGAGUACGGCCGCAAGGUUAAAACUCAAAUGAAUUGACGGGGGCCCGCACAAGCGGUGGAGCAUGUGGUUUAAUUCGAUGCAACGCGAAGAACCUUACCUGGUCUUGACAUCCACAGAACUUUCCAGAGAUGGAUUGGUGCCUUCGGGAACUGUGAGACAGGUGCUGCAUGGCUGUCGUCAGCUCGUGUUGUGAAAUGUUGGGUUAAGUCCCGCAACGAGCGCAACCCUUAUCCUUUGUUGCCAGCGGUUCGGCCGGGAACUCAAAGGAGACUGCCAGUGAUAAACUGGAGGAAGGUGGGGAUGACGUCAAGUCAUCAUGGCCCUUACGACCAGGGCUACACACGUGCUACAAUGGCAUAUACAAAGAGAAGCGACCUCGCGAGAGCAAGCGGACCUCAUAAAGUAUGUCGUAGUCCGGAUUGGAGUCUGCAACUCGACUCCAUGAAGUCGGAAUCGCUAGUAAUCGUAGAUCAGAAUGCUACGGUGAAUACGUUCCCGGGCCUUGUACACACCGCCCGUCACACCAUGGGAGUGGGUUGCA
This 1419-nucleotide ribosomal RNA is filed under the name uncultured bacterium. RNAcentral's name for it is "16S ribosomal RNA". It matches the Rfam family "Bacterial small subunit ribosomal RNA". The record is from RNAcentral.